Molecule: long non-coding RNA, 253 nt
Filed under: Dasypus novemcinctus (nine-banded armadillo)
Lineage: Eukaryota; Metazoa; Chordata; Mammalia; Cingulata; Dasypodidae
Description: lncRNA (ENSDNOG00000052108.1)
Source: RNAcentral
CUAAAAGACUUAUUUAAAAUACGAUCUUAACACUUUAAAUCUUUUUGCAGAUAUGGUUAUCAUAUUUCAAAAACUUCAUAUUUCUUGUGUUAUGAUCCCCCUACCAUCAAAAACAUAUUUGAAAGACUUCGCAAUUUUCAUUCUCCAAAAGAAUAUCCAAAAAUUUGUGGGACUUAUUCUAUAUUGCAUAUACGGGAUGUUACUACUGGGUAUGACAGCAGCCAGCCUAAUAAGAAAUCAGUGCUGCCUAUGA